RNAcentral lists this long non-coding RNA (2339 nucleotides) under Olea europaea (common olive). Its description in RNAcentral is "long non-coding RNA (OEUR_LNC010223)". The record is from RNAcentral. Lineage: Eukaryota; Viridiplantae; Streptophyta; Magnoliopsida; Lamiales; Oleaceae.
AUUAAAAUGAAAAUUUAUUAUGGCAAAUAUUUUGAAGGUUUAAGUUGGACAAAAUUUAAUUUUGGAAUCUAUUUAAAUAUUUUUAAAAGUUCAGGAUUUAAUGCCUUAUGAUAUGAAAGUUGAGGGACACUUUUUGCAAAUAUGAGUUAGUGAUCCACUAACUUGGCAAUAAACCCAUUUCUUGAGAAACCCAGCUGAGGAAUCUGGCAGCAAAGAAAAUUCGAGGGAAAAAAAACGACGAGAAAAGGAAAUGGAAAGAAAAAGAGGGAAGGAAAAUUAAGUUAUGUUCUUCAAUUUCUUCAUGUCUCAAGAGAGGUAAGGAAGCAAAUUGUUUAUGGUAUAAUUUUUAUUAAAUUUUCUAGGGUUCUAAAUUGUUAAUUUAGUUUCUAGAUUAUGUGAAAGGGAUAUUGUUUUAGCUCAAGUUCUUUAACUGAUUAUUUGCUGCUUGUUUUAAGGCAAAUAACUCUAUUCUUAGUAAACCCUAGAAUUUAUAAUUUAGUUUUUGAGUAAGUAUAAAUUGGGGAAAUGAUUAUUUGAUGGAAACAAUUACUUGGAAGGAUGAAGUUGGGGAAUAAGAUGAAAAAUUAAAUUAGUUGAAUUGUUGGUGGCUAGUUUGGAGUUAGCUCAAAUUGAUUAAAGGAAAUUGGGAAAAUUUAUUCAAUUACAGAGAAAUUGAGUUUUAGUAUUCUUCUACUGAUGAUUUCCUUUUUUAUUUUAUAGAAGCAUAUUAAUUACGUGAAAUGUCUUAUUUUCGAGAAAUUAGUAAAUGAGCAUGAUUAUUUUGAAAUUAUUAGAAAAUAACUGAUGUAAUUACCUUAAUCUUGUACACUGAGGGACAACGGCCGUGUACUAGAGUCAUGUAUUUAACUCCUAUGCAUUGAUAGGCUACAACCGUGUAUAAGGAUGAUUAUAUUGUUUCCAUCCCGUACAUUGAAGGGUUACGAUCGUUUACUAGAGUCAUGUAUUUAACUCCUAUAUACUGAGUGGCUACAGCCGUGUGUAAGGGUAAUUUUUAUCCACUGAGGGGCUAUGACCUUAUGUAAGGGUACCUAUUAUACACUGAGGGGCUAUAUUCGUGUAUAAGGAUGAUUAUGUUGUUUCCAUCUUGUACACCGAGGGGCUACGGCCGUGUACAAAGUGUUGAUCAGACGGUUUAUGUGUAUACGACUUUAUAGCUUUCAGAUCAUCAGUAAAUGUUUACAUGAAGUAUAUUUUGAUAUGAAUUUUAUGUAUAUAGUGGAUUAUUAGCCUACAGCUUACAUUUCUCCGUUUACAGUUCAGCUUAUGGAGUUCAGAUUAUAGAAUUCAAUUUGUUCAGUUUUCAGAAUGAAGCUUCCAAUUUAUAGUAUUCAGCAACAACAUUAUUUCACAGAUUUUCAUGGAUGUCAGAUUAUUUAUAUUCGUUAUAUUUACAGUUAUUGAACUAGAAUGAAAAAUAAAGAAUUUUAUGAUCCAAUUAUGUCAGUUUUAAAAGUGUCACUAGAUUUCUGAAUUUCUCAAAGUUUUAAUAGAGCAAGAAUUAUGCACAAAUGAAAAUGUAUACUUAUUUUCAAUUUAUUCACUCAAUGAGUUACAAACUCAUAUUCUGUUACCCUUUUCUUAGCAGAUAGCAGCUAUGUUGAGUAGCCUUGGAGCCUGUCGAUCCACCAAGAGUGACACACACACAUUGUCAUUAGAUGUAUGACUCAUUUCGUAAAUUUAUAUAGUUCAAAUUUCUUUUAGGAUACAUGUAUGUUUUGACAGAAACGUUACUUGGUAAUUUAUAGAUCCAUAUCAUGAGCUUACUGCAUAUUUAGUAUUCUCAUUGCUUUUGGAGUCUUUUGUUUAUAAAGCAUGGUAAAUGUCUUAAAUAGUUUGUAUUUUGAAGGACUAGCAUGUUAUACUUUAAAUUAUAUGUGUAGUUUUGAUAAAGUUGAUAUUUGCUCAGGUAAUUUAGUCCAUAUUUUAAAGGAAAUUCUGUUAAAAUUUUUAUACAAAUAUGCCAUAGUCAAAAUAGGUUAAGUUUGCCUUGGUGGUGGGGUCCAGCACUUAGCUGGUACCUACCAUCGGCGCAUGACACGUGUCGAGUCUAUUAGGGUGAUUCGGGACGGGUCGUGUCAAAUUAGGCCAAUUGCUUCUUGUAACAUGUGGCUCAUAUAGAGUGGAACACAGGUCCUGGAUCAAAUGGGCAGUUGUCGGUGCGGAGCGAAGCAACGACAUCGACCUUGCGUGGGUUUGAUUCACUGUCUGGUUGUUAGGGACGCUGAAUGGGUUGGGGGUGCGGAGACAACACUCCUGCGGUACGGUACGUGAGUAUUUCUUGUACGGACCUUAAAGUCUUAUAUAGGCCCAUGCUAGAG